RNAcentral lists this long non-coding RNA (3270 nucleotides) under Malus domestica (apple). RNAcentral's name for it is "long non-coding RNA (MDOM_LNC014681)". Lineage: Eukaryota; Viridiplantae; Streptophyta; Magnoliopsida; Rosales; Rosaceae. The record is from RNAcentral.
CGGGUAAUCAUUUUCAUUAGACUUUGAAGUCAUUCAAUACUCGAUUAGUUUAAUACUACUGCUGCUAUCUAUUCGGCUUUUUCACAUUUUGAAACAUUUUAAUGAAUGGUUGUUAGGCAAAAUAGCACACAGGAAAAAUAGCUUCACUGAAACAUCAAGAUUUUCAAGAUAAAAUAUGGUUAAUGAUAGGGAGACUAUCUAUUUAAAACAUAUUUUUAGAAAUGCUUAAUUAAAUUUUAACUCCUAAUUUUAAAGUUGUUUUAAUCAAACAUCUGGGUUUUUAAGGAUUUUGAUUAUGACGCUUACGUACAUUAGGCCACAUUAGCAUUUUUCUAUUAUCAAAUUAAAACUAUUAUUAUAAUUUUCGAAAUUAUUAUUGAAAUUUCCUGCUAACUAAGGCCAUCUCCAACCGGUUGGCCAGAGGGCUCGUUUUAGCCCUCUGGCCCUCCAAGAUUCUCCAAGAUAUUAAUAUUUUAAGGGAAAUUUUAUUUAAACCCAUACAACCUUUUUUUACACCCAACUUAAAAUUUUGAAGGUUAAUUGUCUAUUUUAUCCUAUUGCACUAUUAAGUACAAAAUAAAAUUAAUAAUAAAACUCAAUUUAUCAAUAAACCCAAACAAUAUAAUUAAACCCUACAUUAACUUUAGCUUAGACUUACAGUUUGAGGCCACUGGGGUUUUUCCAGCAAAAAUAGUAUCUCUUCUAUAUGCUCUCGAUUCUUCCACAUGUUUUCGUCGACUGUAGCAGAGUCAAUUGCCCUAUUUCUUUGGGCAACUCUUUAACCUUGGAGUGUAUCAGGCUAAGAAUUUUCAAGUUUGUUAGUUGUCCAACAAGAGUUAUAUCAACCAACUCGCACUGAUCUAAACACAAUGUGUGGAGAUGCAUUAGGGAUUGAAGAGAUGGAGGUAGUGACUGAAUACGGAAUCUGGUUACAUCCAACACUUUGAGUUCUUUCAUUCCUUCAAAAAAUUUGCUUGGAAUUUCCUGGGAGUCGCCAACAUUCUUAUUCUCCAAGAUCAACAAUUUUAAUUCUGGGCAUUCCCAAGGUACUUCAGGAAGUAUGGGCAUUUUGCAAGAUCUUAAGGAGAUCAUAGUGUACUUUUUAAAUAAAUCCUCAGCGGGCCAUUCUUUCACCUCAUCUCCAUAUCCUUGAAAAGGCCUUUUUAUCAUCAGAUGCAAUCCAGAUAGCAACAUCUCGAACAAGCUCGUGCAUUCUAACAGUACGAUCGUCAUAACUAUCCAGCAAUAGGAAGAAGGAAGUUACAGUGGAAUAACGGAUUCAAUCUUAUAUCUGUUGAAGAAUCAAUGACACAGCCGAUAGCUUUUGAGUUAAAAAUUUAAUGGGUGUAAAAAUAAAUCCACAUAUUGAAUUGGGUUUAUGAGGGUAUAUUAGGUAUUAAAUUUGGGUUUAAAGAGAUACUAAUAGUUUAGUUAAAAAUCAAAUGGGUGAAAAAAGUAAAUUGGGUGUAUAAAUAGGUUAGAUGGGUUUAAAUAAAAUUUCCCAUAUUUUAAUGAACAGUACAGGGCCAUAUUUGCCUCCGUCUCCAACCGAGGGCCAGAGGGCCAGACGGCUCGUUUUAGCCCUGUCAAAAAAAACCGUCUCCAACCGAGGAUCAUAGGGCCAAACAUAAUUUAUUAUUUAAAAACUACAACUUAAUUUUAUUUAAAAAUCAUGUUGGUUAGUGUUGUAUAAUUUUUAUGUCGGUUAAUGUUAUUUAAUGUUGUUUCAUAUUGUUUAAUGUUGUUUCAUGUUACUUAAUUUAAUUUAAUGUUGUAUAAUGGCUUAGGAAGUUAUAGGAAAAAAUUAGAAUUUAAAAAAAAUAUGAAACAAAUUUUGUGAAAUAGAAGUUAUAGGAAAAAAUGGAAUUUAAAAAAAAAAUAUGAAACAAAUUUUGUAAAAUAGAAGUUAUAUGAAAAAAAUAUGAACCAAAUUUUGUAAAAUAUAAGUUAUAGGAAAAAAAUAGAAUUAAAAAAAAAUUGAAACAAAUUUUGUAAAAUAAAAGUUAUAGGAAGUUAUAGAAAAAAAAAGAAAAAAAAAAAAGGUUUAAAUUCAUAAAAAAAAAAAAAAAGGAUUUACAACGGGUAGUGGCGCUAGCCGUUGGAAGUUUGAAUUCAAAAUGUUAUUUCUGUCGGUUGUAACCGACAGAAAUAAGAAACAUUAAAAAAAAAAUAGCCAGCCCGGGGCUGGCUAGCUGGCCGAAAGCAGCCAGCCCUCCAGCCCUCCAGCCCUCUUCGAUCUCGUGGGGCCCUCCCAGAUUCUCGAGCCCUCUGGCCUAGCCCUCGGUUGAAGACGGUUUUAGGGCUAUUUUCGGCCCUCUGGCCCUCUGGACCCUUCGGUUGGAGAUGACCUAAAGUAUUUUAGAAGCUGUGGGCUCCUUUUUAAGAGAUAAUCAUGGUUUUUCCUUUUUCAUUCAAAAUAUUUAUCCAGUCAUUUAAAAAAAAAUUCGUACAAAAGAUUCUUUUUCUCCUAAAAUUCAAAUAUAAUCUUAUAAUCAAGAUAACGAAAAUGGUGGAUGUUUAUAUUUUUUAAAUUAUUAUGCAUACAUUUUAUUGAGAGAAUUAUUUGUAUACAUUAUUGAUAUGUUUACGAUUAGAAUUCCUAGAUUUCUGAUUAUAUUCAAUAUGAAUCACAGAUACGUUUAUUAUUAAUUUUCAUACUAUGAUUUUAUUUCAUAUUAUGGAUUGGUACGCUUGUUUUUAGUUUUUGGUAUAUUAAUUUUUGUACAUAUUGUUGAUUAGUACGUUUAACUAGAUACGUUUGAUUUUAGUUUUAGGUACAUUUAGUUUUUUUUUUUUGAACAUAUUAUUAAUUGAUAACUUUUUUAAACACAUUCAAUAUUAUCUACACUAAAAGAUGGGGGAGUGUUAGGCCUUAUAUAGAGUUAGCCAUAAUAAUUUUGUUCGAAUUUGCUUUUAGCAAGGCUUGAAUCUAAGACCUUACUUACAAGUGAGACGAAAUAACACUAAACAGUAGUAUUAAGUGGCAUCAUUAAUUGUUUGAUAACUUAAUAAUUUAAUUUGGAUUAAUACUAAUAAUAAUUUUGGUAUAAAUAAGACUAGAUUUAGGAGCUUUGGAUAUUAUUUUUGUAUCUUAGAAAGAAGACAGUUUUAAAAUGUGGCACAAAAAUUGUAGAAAGUACUUUAGUAAAAAGUUUAGAAGCUAGGGAUGUGUUUGGUCUAACAAAUUUAAAAAUUAAGCACCUAAAUCAAAAUUCCCUUUUUAUAAAUCAUAUGAUGUGAUUUUUUAUGAUUAAAUUUUUACUGGUGACA